UACGUAGGGGGCUAGCGUUGUCCGGAAUCAUUGGGCGUAAAGAGCACGCAGGCGGUUUGGCAAGUCGGAUGUGAAAACCCGAAGCUCAACUUCGGGCCUGCAUCCGAAACUGCCCGACUAGAGGUAGGUAGGGGAGAUCGGAAUUCCUGGUGUAGCGGUGAAAUGCGCAGAUAUCAGGAGGAACACCGGUGGCGAAGGCGGAUCCCUGGGCCUUACCUGACGCUCAGGUGCGAAAGCUAGGGGAGCGAACAGG
RNAcentral lists this ribosomal RNA (253 nucleotides) under uncultured bacterium. Its description in RNAcentral is "partial 16S ribosomal RNA". It matches the Rfam family "Bacterial small subunit ribosomal RNA", at positions 524 to 776 of the family's 1533-position model. The record is from RNAcentral.